Molecule: ribosomal RNA, 494 nt
Filed under: uncultured bacterium
Lineage: Bacteria
Description: bacterial SSU rRNA
Rfam family: Bacterial small subunit ribosomal RNA
Source: RNAcentral
AUUGAACGCUGGCGACAGGCCUAACACAUGCAAGUCGAGCGCGAAAGUCUUCGGAUGAGUAAAGCGGCGAACGGGUGAGUAAUGCAUGGGAAUCUGCCUGGUAGUGGGGGACAACGUCUCGAAAGGGACGCUAAUACCGCAUACGCCUACGGGGGAAAGGGGGGAUCUUCGGACCUCUCGCUAUCAGAUGAGCCCAUGUCAGAUUAGCUAGUUGGUGAGGUAAAGGCUCACCAAGGCGACGAUCUGUAACUGGUCUGAGAGGAUGAUCAGUCACACUGGAACUGAGACACGGUCCAGACUCCUACGGGAGGCAGCAGUGGGGAAUAUUGGACAAUGGGGGCAACCCUGAUCCAGCCAUGCCGCGUGUGUGAAGAAGGCCCUAGGGUUGUAAAGCACUUUCAGUGGGGAGAAAGGUUAUUCACCUAAUACGUGAGUAGAUUGAUGUUACCCACAGAAGAAGCACCGGCUAACUCCGUGCCAGCAGCCGCGGUAAU